This 73-nucleotide transfer RNA is filed under the name Victivallis vadensis. It matches the Rfam family "tRNA". From Rfam's summary of the family: Transfer RNA (tRNA) molecules are approximately 80 nucleotides in length. Their secondary structure includes four short double-helical elements and three loops (D, anti-codon, and T loops). Lineage: Bacteria; Pseudomonadati; Lentisphaerota; Lentisphaeria; Victivallales; Victivallaceae. The record is from Rfam by way of RNAcentral.
GUCCCUAUCGUCUAGAGGCCUAGGACACCGGGUUUUCAUCCCGGCAACUCGGGUUCGAAUCCCGAUGGGGAUG